GACGAACGCUGGCGGCGUGCCUAAUACAUGCAAGUAGAACGCUGAAGAGAGGAGCUUGCUCUUCUUGGAUGAGUUGCGAACGGGUGAGUAACGCGUAGGUAACCUGCCUUGUAGCGGGGGAUAACUAUUGGAAACGAUAGCUAAUACCGCAUAACAAUGGAUGACACAUGUCAUUUAUUUGAAAGGGGCAAUUGCUCCACUACAAGAUGGACCUGCGUUGUAUUAGCUAGUAGGUGAGGUAAUGGCUCACCUAGGCGACGAUACAUAGCCGACCUGAGAGGGUGAUCGGCCACACUGGGACUGAGACACGGCCCAGACUCCUACGGGAGGCAGCAGUAGGGAAUCUUCGGCAAUAGGGGCAACCCUGACCGAGCAACGCCGCGUGAGUGAAGAAGGGUUUCGGAUCGUAAAGCUCGGUUGUAAGUCAAGAACGGGUGUGAGAGUGGAAAGUUCACACUGUGACGGUAGCUUACCAGAAAGGGACGGCUAACUACGUG
RNAcentral lists this ribosomal RNA (497 nucleotides) under uncultured bacterium. Its description in RNAcentral is "partial 16S ribosomal RNA". It matches the Rfam family "Bacterial small subunit ribosomal RNA", at positions 28 to 507 of the family's 1533-position model. The record is from RNAcentral.